UACGUAGGGGGCAAGCGUUGUCCGGAAUCAUUGGGCGUAAAGAGCGCGUAGGCGGCCCUGUAAGUCCGCUGUGAAAGUCAAGGGCUCAACCCGUGGAUGCCGGUGGAUACUGCAGGGCUAGAGUCCGGAAGAGGCGAGUGGAAUUCCUGGUGUAGCGGUGAAAUGCGCAGAUAUCAGGAGGAACACCGGUGGCGAAGGCGGUUCUCUGGGAAUGUCCUGACGCUGAGGAGCGAAAGUGUGGGGAGCGAACAGG
RNAcentral lists this ribosomal RNA (253 nucleotides) under uncultured bacterium. RNAcentral describes it as "partial 16S ribosomal RNA". It matches the Rfam family "Bacterial small subunit ribosomal RNA", at positions 524 to 776 of the family's 1533-position model. The record is from RNAcentral.